This 423-nucleotide ribosomal RNA is filed under the name uncultured delta proteobacterium. RNAcentral's name for it is "bacterial SSU rRNA". It matches the Rfam family "Bacterial small subunit ribosomal RNA", at positions 9 to 419 of the family's 1533-position model. The record is from RNAcentral. Lineage: Bacteria; Deltaproteobacteria.
GAGUUUGAUCUUGGCUCAGAACGAACGUUAGCGGCGCGCCUAAUACAUGCAAGUCGUGCGAGAAAGGGCUUCGGCCCCGGUAAAGCGGCGCACGGGUGAGUAACACGUAGGUAAUCUUCCCCCGAGUGGUGGAUAACCCUCCGAAAGGAGGGCUAAUACAGCAUGAGACCACGACCUCGCUGAGGUUGCGGCCAAAGUAGGCCUCUACUUGUAAGCUUACGCUUGGGGAUGAGCCUGCGGCCCAUCAGCUAGUUGGUAGGGUAAUGGCCUACCAAGGCAUAGACGGGUAGCUGGUCUGAGAGGAUGAACAGCCACACUGGAACUGAGACACGGUCCAGACUCCUACGGGAGGCAGCAGUAGGGAAUCUUGCGCAAUGGACGAAAGUCUGACGCAGCGACGCCGCGUGAGCGAUGAAGGCCUGG